Molecule: ribosomal RNA, 253 nt
Filed under: uncultured bacterium
Lineage: Bacteria
Description: partial 16S ribosomal RNA
Rfam family: Bacterial small subunit ribosomal RNA
Source: RNAcentral
UACGAAGGGGGCUAGCGUUGCUCGGAAUUACUGGGCGUAAAGGGCGCGUAGGCGGACAGUUUAGUCAGAGGUGAAAGCCCAGGGCUCAACCUUGGAAUUGCCUUUGAUACUGGCUGUCUUGAGUUCGGGAGAGGUGAGUGGAAUGCCGAGUGUAGAGGUGAAAUUCGUAGAUAUUGGGAAGAACACCAGUGGCGAAGGCGGCUCACUGGCCCGCAACUGACGCUGAGGCGCGAAAGCGUGGGGAGCAAACAGG